UUUUAUUUUUAAAAUGUUCAAUUCUAACCUUUUAUUUUAUAAAUUUUGUUAUUAACACAUAAAAAUAUAUUUUAUUAUAAAAUUAUCUUAGUUCAUCAAUUUAUUUUGUACUUAACUCCUUCACUAUGGUGUCGUGAAUUCUCGUGAGUUCGUGUCUAAAUUCUGCCAUUACUGUCUACUAUGACAAUUGGCCCAAUUUCUCAGAUGUUUAUUUUUUAUUAUAUUGUAAAAAUAUAAAUUAUUACAAAAUAUAAAACAAUUUAUUAUAAAAACUGCUAAAAAAUAUUUUCUAGUUUACAUUUAUAUUCAAAGUAAUAUGCUAAUAUUGGUGAUCUUCAUAUAAUUAUUAAAAUAAAUAAUAACAAUAACGUAACAAUUACCGAACAAUUAUCAAACAAUUUCUCUCUCUCUCUCUCUCUCUCUCUCUCUCUCUCUCUCUCUCUCUCUCUCCCUCUCUUUCUCUCAAGUCAAUUCUAUUUAAUGCAUGCUUAUGCUACACGGUAACUAUCCUGAGAAAGAUGGUUUGCCAUUGCCUUCUGAAAAUUAACAGUUACUAAAGAUUACAAAAUGUAAUCAUAUUAAUUGAAUAUUUAAUUUAAACUGUUUCCAAAGUGUAGUAAUUAUCAUUCACAUAUCGCACGCUUGGGUGAUUAUAUUGUAAUUACAAAAACUCUCUUUUUAUGUGUGCCAUUUUAUAUUUCAAUAUAAAAACAUUUCACAAUUACGUUACGAAAGAGAAAUUCGCAGAAUUAGUUGCUUGAUUGAUUGAUGAUCACACCAACACUUUUUAUAUUAAUAUGCCAACAAUAUUUUUGCUUUAUAGACAUACUUUAACAAUUGACACCGAAUAAAUAACAGUCACGAUUGCAUAAUAAGUAGCAGUUUCAUCUUCCAUGUAUACGACAGCAUACAAAUAAACAUAUAUCUUUCUUACAACGAGACACAAAAAAAUCAACGCACAUAAACGGCAUUAAUCUAAGAGGACAUAGUUCAGUUUUUCAUAGCAUUCGUUAAGCGUGUCAACGCCGUGUAAAAUUUAUUGUGCAAAAUCAACGCAUAUAUUUAAUAAUAUUUAUAUAAAUAAUGCCGCGUAAGCGUAAAAAUGACCAUGCAUUUUAAUGCUACUGUUCAUUCAUUCAUUAUCUGAAUUUAAAAUGAUAAAUUGAUAAACAAAAAACAUGCAAGUUUCGCAAAAUAGGAAAAAGCUGUGUACGUAUAUUACAAUUUCUAAAGCGGCACACAGAUAAUAGACAUUUCUUUUUUAAUUCUGUAUUUAACGCAUAAAUGCGUCGUCUCUAUAUAUCCUUUAUUAUUUAUGCACCGUUUCUAUUCCUAACAAAGUAUAAAAAAAAAAUCCCUAUGUUGUCCAACUAUUUCAUAAUUACGAUUUACAAUCCUCAAAAAUUGCAAUGUGAAAAAGUUUUUAUUAUUUUUUAAAAAGAUCUCUGCCCUUUAUAUUAUUUAUCACUUAUUUUCUUAUGAUAACAGAUAAAUCCAAUCUAAUGUUAAGUAACUUUGAAACGUACAAUACCAUAGCGUAUUAUUUAACGUCAGCAAAAAAUGAGAUAAAUAAUACACACAUUCGAUAUUUCUUUUACAACGCUAUCAAAAUAUCUCACAAGAUUGGUGCCAUGGUUAGAGGCGCUACGAUAGUGAUAGAAAAAGAUGUUUGCGCGAGCGUCACUUUGUUUGAAAAUGUUAGAAUAUAAAUGCCUGCUAUUAAUAGACAUGCGCAAUUCUUCUUUGGGUAAUUUCAUAAACGAGUAUCAAAUAUUGAUAGUUCCAUAAUCCAUGAUUUGCUGAUAAGAUUAAACGACGUUCCAAUUAAACCGAGUGACCGUUAUCUGAUUUACGGAGGUAUGAUUGAAAUCAAAUGCUCUAAUCUGUUUAAGUUAUAUAGAAGUUAUAUAGAAUAUUAUUUAAAACAAAACUAAUAUUAUAUUAUAAAACUUUAUGCAAACUGAUUGACCGUGUAGUUUCUAAAAAAAAAAAGUUUAGAAUUUUAUAUAUAGCCUCUUAUGAAAGAUACAUCAAACGACUAUCACGUUAUGUUACUAUUCAAAAUACUUCGACGCAUCUAAAUGUUAUAUGAAUAGUUAGAACAACCUUUUUCGUAUGCUUCGUAAAAAUUUUAUUCACCAUUUAGAUUUUUUGUACACUGUAAAAAAAUUUUGUAAAAUUACAACUAUAAUAGUGGGAAAUUUUAAGAGCCAUUAUAAUAAUUGUAAAUUUUUAUGUGUAUGUAAUAUUAUUAUAAAAAACAAAAUAUAAUCAAUUACAUGGCAACAAAAAAAUUUUGUAAAAAUGUAAGAAAAAAAAGAAUACGCAAACAUUAUUCUAACGAGCCUUCUGACUUUUCACAGGCUAUUCGAUACGUCAUAAAUAAUUCAAGGAGAUAUUAAAAACAAAUCUGUGAGUGAUGAAAAAUCUUGCUUAACAUUUCAUAUGUUUUUCUUCGCGCGCAUUAGUUGUUAUGCUAAAAUCUCAUAAAUCGCAAAAGUAUAAGAAAAAAAAGAAUACACGAGCAUUGUUCUAACGAGCCUUCCGACUUUUCAUAGGAUACUCGACGCGUCAUAAAUAAAAAUUCAAGGAGAUAAAAAAAAACAAGCAAAAACCUUAUCGCGAUUUCUGGAGACAUUUACAUUUCAUACACGUAUACAUAUAAACUCGCGGUUUUUUCGCGUAAAAAGAAUCUUUCCCGACGAUAGAUAUCGAGAGGUGAUUGCUAUUUUUUCAAUUUUGAUCAGUAUUUAUCGUAAAUAAUGGGUUACGUAACCGCGCAGUAUCGCUGUAGAGUACAAGUUAUGCGUCGUAGCGGCUCGUUACGAGCACGCGAUCUUUUUUCGCGUUUCGGAGCAACGUAAGCGCGAAAUAGAUAAAUAGAACUACUAUCGAUAAAUGCUCAACGCAAUUGCGCAAUUAACAAUGAGGCAAUUGUGAGUGUCGAUUACGCGCGCGAUAUAUGCAGCACUAUUAUAUGACACGCGGCACCAUGAAAAAAGAAACGGAUCAAAACUCUGCUAACUCGUAACAGUUUCGAGGCUUUCGGAGGUUAUCGAAGACAAGAUAAAGUGGAUCAUCAUUGCUGGAAUAAAGCAUGAGACAUCUUGCGUCGUGCCUUUUCCAUGUAAACGUUUAUCUGUCGACACACAUACACACGCGCGCGCGCGCGAAUGUGUGUGUCGUUUCGGAUAAAAUUGUUUUACCUACGUAUCUAAAACAUACAGAUGAUUAUGGAUUAUUACGAGCUUGACGAGUAUGUCGAGUCGCGGCGAUCGACGUCACCGAGAUAAAAGUCUACUUGAUCAAUAAUGAUUGUUGCAUUCUUCAGAUAGACAAAAUCGUUGAAUUAUAAAUGCUAAAGUACUCGUAAGUAAGUAAGUAAGUAAAUACUCGAGGCUGACAAAAGAGAUGCCGGACUUUGCCACCGCCGUUAAAGGGCAAACAUUAUUAAUAGACUGUCGUUUCGCGAACCCAAGUUCGAACUCGAGUAAACUCGCGACUUUCCUCUUUGUACUUGAAAAUGAUCGACACGCAAGUGUCGUGUGUGCGGCAAUGGUGCACACGCAGUUUUGUGUGUGUGUGUGUGUUGCGAAAAGAUAUCAAUCGGCUGCGGAUGUUGAAAUCCUGCAACGUAUGCCAACAGGAAGAUCGGAAGAAUUAAAAACCCGGAAGUCUGCGUUUCGCAAUCGUGCUUUUCACAAUGCGCGCGUGCAAUUCGCGGGUAUUAUGACAACAAGCGUUCGCAAACAAACAAGAGUCGAGACAAUUUGUUAAAAUUAUUGUUUCUUUCGACAGCGUUGCCAGAUUUCGCGUUUUACGUCGUCGAAAACCGCCGAUUUAUCUUCAAUUUGUGAACAUAUUUUUGUCAGACUUUCUACUUGCAUACCAAAAAAGAAAGAGGGUGAAACGGAGUUGAAUUUUUGCAAGGACAUGUGAUAGGGUCAGAAUUCGUAAGAAAUCAAGACGUCAAAAAAAAAACCGUAUCUUAACGUUCCGUGUAAUGUACCAUGUAUUAUUUCGCGCGAUAAAAACGUAACAGAACGGGCGAUACAGAAAUCGGCGUGACAUCGUAAAAGAAAAAGAAAUUAUCGCAAUCACGGACGUGUCAUUCGAAGACUUCGAAUUGCCCGAUGACGACGCCGCUUGACGAAGUCGACAAUAAAAGAAACAAAACAACUCGUCAAUCACUGUUUUCGUAACGUUGUAUAAGCGUUCGCCUCACGCUGUCUUCUUACGUCUAAGGUGCAAACGCGCGAUGUAAAAGAGACGCAAUAACUAACACGUUGUAUACUUAAUAAUGUAUACAACCAACAGAAAUCAGGACAGAGAUAAAAAAAAAAACUUGAGAAACUGACAUCUUAGCUAAAACUAUUGUCGAUAAAUCCAUUCAGAACCGUCUGAGUGACAAGUAUUCAUUAAUCAUUGAUUGAAAAAUAAGAUAUAUAUUAUUUUUUCGCAUCGUGACAUUUAGAACGUUUUCCGAAAUAUCAAAAGAAAUAUUGAAUCUUUCAAUAUUUCUGAAAUAUCAGUGUUUUGCACCGCGUGAAUAUGAGAGAUGGAGACUCAUAAAUUCACCUAGCUAUUGUAUACGAUUUUAAUAAUUGUUAAAAAUUAAAAAAAAAACCCUCGUAAAAUAGCUAGAAGAUUUAUUUCCCUAAAAAAUAUUCGAAUGUAUGUUAACUAAUCUAAGCGUGUUCUUUGUCGCAAGUUCUUUAGCAUCCCAAAUGUCCUCAGUUGAUCGAUGUUAAAAAAGAUUGAUUCUGAAUAGGCUGCUGCUAAAACAUAUGCUAAAAUCAGUCGGGGACGUAUAAAUCUUGCUUAUAAAUUUUCAAGCCGUUUUUCUUCAGGCUGUACUUAUUUAAUGAAAAACUUUUUGAAAUGAUUAAAAAGUUACGUGCUGGGAAUAUAAUAAUAGCUAGGGAAUUAACGGGGACGGCGGUUACAGUAUACUCGCGGAAUAAAAGCGUGCUAUCUUGUUUUCAAGAGGAAUAAAAUAAUUCCCUUCGAUGUUAUGGAAAAAAGCCUGUAAAUGUCAUUUUACGACAAGCAAUAUUUUUUUGUAUCUUGUUUUUGUUAGAUUUUAGUACAUUCUCGCGAAGCCUUUCGGAAUAACGCGAAAAAGAUUAUUUCUAAGAUUGUUUCCGCUAUCUUCACGAAGUUUUUAUUGCAAGGUUCAAACUCUAUUUUAUAUUGAAACGCAACACCAGUCCAAAUGUCAAACACGUGCAUGUUCUUCCUACCUUUGUGGUUAAAACUUAAAUUCGCGCGAGAUCACUUGGACCACGUGACCGGAGUAAUGACGGGAAUUAGGGAUUACAUAAGUAGUUACGGAAAUGUACGGUCCGAAGAGAAACUAAUCGCCAGGAUAUAUAUGCCGUUUCCUAAGUACGCGUUAUAGCCUAGCUAUAACUGCCAUUUGCAUACAGAAGUAUUGCACGGGGAGCGCAUAGGUGAUCAUUAUAUACUGUGAAUAAUAGACGCAUUACACCAACUAGUUCACGUGAUGCAAGAAGAGAUGAAUUAAAGGUGAGGAGGAAAAAGCUGUAAGCUAAUAAUUUCCUAGCUCGCACGUGCGACACUUCUGAUGAAGGAAAUCUCUAAAUAUAAUAUAUAAAAUCUCUCUUAUAUAUUCUAUCUCUAAAUAUAAAAUGUUAUUGGCAUCAUCCUGCCCUGAGAAUGAGAAGUUUUCUUAUUUCCGAUAUUCCAACAUAGUUCGAACAGAGUUUGCGAACUAUCUGUAAAAUCAACUUUAUUUCAGACUUUACAUAUAUUUUUUUAAAAUUUGUAUAUCUACACACAGAAAAAUAUCAAUUUUGCUGCAAAAAAAGGAUUAUUUAAUUUACUUUUUACUUCCAAGUUUUUAAUCUAAGUAAUGUAAGUAUUAAUGUAAUUUAAUAUAAGUAUUAUCAAAAAAAAAUUUUUUUUUAAUAAUCUUAAAAUAUAUUUGAUUUACUAUAAUACAAAUUUUAGAAAAAAUUAUCAUAUACUUGAAGAAAAAUUCUAUUUUUUUCGACAAAUAUAAAAUUAAAUUGAAGAAAAGUCAAAAUAAAAUAUCUAAGCAAUUUUUAAUCUUAACUUAAUAUUCUUGAUUGAAGAACUACUUACUAAGAUUCAAAAUAUGUUGAUGUUCACGAUGAACUUACGAUAGAUUUGCGGAUAUAUAAACUUAUAAAUUAGUUUAAAUUAUUAAAAAAAUUCAAGUAUAUAUUUUUCUGUGUGUCCGUAGAAACUUAUUUUAAAUAUGUUACUCUUAUUUCAAAUAAACGAGGAGUAUAUUUUAAGACUAUUAUCAAGCAGAUAUUCCUUGCAAAAAUAACCACUAUUUAAAAAGAAAACUAAAAAAUGAAUAACUGUUUUUUUUCAGCACGAGAAUGAUAUUUUUCUGUAAGUGUGCGAUACAACUUGUGUAAAAUAUUGUAAAUUUGAAGAAAGACGUUCGACUUUGGUGUUCAUUCAAAGGAAUGUCAUUUUCUUUUAUUUUCUUUUCUACGUAGAAUCACUUCUUUCAUACCUCGCUGGUAUUAUUAGUAAACACACAUCUACUUGUGCCUCAAUCGCGAGAAAUAUGAGUGAUACUUGAAUGAGAAAUUCUUGUUUUUUUUUAGCAUUUACAAUAACCAGAUAACGUGAAUAAUGUGCAUACUAUUAUUUUAUCAUAUAACGAACGUGGAAAAUGGAUAAUCGUAUAAUAAAAUUCAUAAUGAGUUGCGGAAAUUCCGUAAGAUAAUUGCGUAACAAUAAUUUUCCAAUACAUUCAAUCAUCCUCUAUGUAUAUACGUGUGUUCGAUUAGUAAUAAAUCCACAAUCGAACGAUCUAAGGCCGGUAUUCAUAGUCGAGUCUUAUAUUUAAGAUUAUCUUAAGUAAAUAAUGUCUCAAGAUGCUAAUAACGGCUUUGUAAUUGGUUGAUGAUAUCUUAAGACGAUCUUAAAUAUAAAACCUAACUACACUGAGAGAAAAAAAA
Molecule: long non-coding RNA, 6965 nt
Organism: Monomorium pharaonis (pharaoh ant)
Lineage: Eukaryota; Metazoa; Arthropoda; Insecta; Hymenoptera; Formicidae
Exons: 2
Source: RefSeq, a predicted model, not a curated record